Molecule: long non-coding RNA, 696 nt
Organism: Bos indicus x Bos taurus (hybrid cattle)
Lineage: Eukaryota; Metazoa; Chordata; Mammalia; Artiodactyla; Bovidae
Source: Ensembl
CUGGCCAGAGAGAAGGCUGAGGAGCAGCCAGCAGCCUCUCCAGUUGUGAUGUGGAAUUUGAAAGAGGAUCCUGGGCCAGGGUCCACAGAAUUGCGUGUGUCCUGCACUGGGUCAUGUUAGCACAGCAUGUUUCCUCACUCUCUGGGAACCCAAACAAAGAAGAGACACCCAUGGCAACCUGAUUGCCAAGCUGUGCCUCCCUCUCAGCCCCCCAGAUCUGGUGUCAUCUUUACAGGGAAAUGAAAUGGGAUGUCUACAGUAAACAGCAGAAUAAAUCAGACCACAUCUGUGUUACAAAGAAAACUUCUGUCCCAUUUCUCUGGACCUGGUUAUUCAGUACAAUGAUGGAAAUUACAGACAAGAAAUGGAGAGAAUGGGGGAAGCCACAAAGAAAGGGAAGGAAGAAAAAGGCCAGGGAGGAGGAAGAUGCGUCUGUGACCAGAGCCCUGAGCCCAGAGUUGGCCCCCAGGAAGGAUGGGGACUGUUUAUUGAGGAUUUGCCAAUGCUGACAAGGAGCUGGAGAUCACCUGAGUAGCUUACCUGGGGGGAAAGCUGAGCAAAUGAAUUGUGAUGCAUUAAAUCCAUGGAACUAUUCUGCAACUACAUACCAAAAUGUGUUUGGUUUUGUCUAUGGAUGAGGAAAGCUAUGAUGCCUCGUCAAGAGAGAAAGGCGAGCCGUGGAUGUGUGUUGAGAGC